Molecule: ribosomal RNA, 459 nt
Filed under: uncultured bacterium
Lineage: Bacteria
Description: partial 16S ribosomal RNA
Rfam family: Bacterial small subunit ribosomal RNA
Source: RNAcentral
CCUACGGGUGGCAGCAGUGAGGAAUAUUGGUCAAUGGGCGAGAGCCUGAACCAGCCAAGUCGCGUGAAGGAUGAAGGAUCUAUGGUUUGUAAACUUCUUUUAUAUGGGAAUCAAGUGAGGAACGUGUUCCUUUUUGUAUGUACCAUAUGAAUAAGCAUCGGCUAACUCCGUGCCAGCAGCCGCGGUAAUACGGAGGAUGCGAGCGUUAUCCGGAUUUAUUGGGUUUAAAGGGUGCGUAGGCGGGCUUUUACGUCAGCGGUAAAAAUUCGGGGCUCAACCCCGUCCGGCCGUUGAAACUGGGGGCCUUGAGUGGGCGAGAAGAAGGCGGAAUGCGUGGUGUAGCGGUGAAAUGCAUAGAUAUCACGCAGAACCCCGAUUGCGAAGGCAGCCUUCCGGCGCCCUACUGACGCUGAGGCACGAAAGUGCGGGGAUCGAACAGGAUUAGAUACCCGAGUAGUC